UCACGUGACACAUCAUUUAUAUUUUUUUAAAACAAUAUUGACGAAUUAAUGUUGCGAUAUUCAGUUUAAUAACAUAGCAAUCGACUUGGCUGCCUCAUCAAAUUAAAGUUGCGAUAUUCAGUUUAUUUUCGCGCCCCUCCUUCGAGGCCCUGACUGCCUCAUCCAUGUAGUCUAAUUCAUAUUUUCAAUGAAUGAAGCAGGUAGCGUGCUACCUUUUCUCAAAAAAAAAAAAAAAAACAUAGCGAUCGACUUGAUGUUAAGAUACUUAAUUUAAUGAUAUAACGAUCGGCUUGAAGUUGAGAUGUUCAGCUUAAUGACAUGACGAUCAACUCGAUUUGAAUCGAUUUGAUCAGAUUAAUAAUUUAGCGGUUGAUUGAUUUGAACUCGAGCUGCUCAGUUUAGUAACUUUUAGUAACUUAACGAUUGAUGGCUUUAAACAUUAAUUUUUUUUUAAAUAAGCUUGAAAUUUAAUCUUUAAAAUUUUAAACUUUUAGAAUAAAUAAUUAUUUUUUAUUAUUUAUUAUUUAUAUGUAUAAAUAU
RNAcentral lists this long non-coding RNA (540 nucleotides) under Ananas comosus (pineapple). RNAcentral's name for it is "long non-coding RNA (ACOM_LNC000214)". Lineage: Eukaryota; Viridiplantae; Streptophyta; Magnoliopsida; Poales; Bromeliaceae. The record is from RNAcentral.